This 243-nucleotide ribosomal RNA is filed under the name Triticum aestivum (bread wheat). RNAcentral's name for it is "partial small subunit ribosomal RNA". Lineage: Eukaryota; Viridiplantae; Streptophyta; Magnoliopsida; Poales; Poaceae. The record is from RNAcentral.
AUGAACCCAAGUGGUUGCGGUGAUAGUGACUUGAAAAUGAUUGCACAAGGAUUGUUUCGAGAUAGGAACAUGAAAGGCGAGAAGAAGAAAAGGAAAGGAAAAGCUUUCACUUUUCAUCAUUGCUACAAAGAGCUCAAGGAUGAGGAGAAGUGGAAAACUAGAGAGACUUUUGAAUCGUCGAAGAAGAAGAGUGCGGUGCUUGAGGAUGAAGAAGAUGUCGCCAUUGAGUUCACCGCUUGUUGA